AGGUGGACAUAUUGCCAACA
This 20-nucleotide microRNA is filed under the name Arabidopsis lyrata. RNAcentral describes it as "aly-miR394b-3p". Its record names the gene aly-miR394b-3p. The record is from miRBase by way of RNAcentral. Lineage: Eukaryota; Viridiplantae; Streptophyta; Magnoliopsida; Brassicales; Brassicaceae.